RNAcentral lists this long non-coding RNA (660 nucleotides) under Fukomys damarensis (Damara mole-rat). RNAcentral's name for it is "lncRNA (ENSFDAG00000030306.1)". The record is from RNAcentral. Lineage: Eukaryota; Metazoa; Chordata; Mammalia; Rodentia; Bathyergidae.
GAAAGGCAUUGGAGUCCGCAUUUAGUCCUGAUUUAAUUUACUGAUUUUUAUUUUUGCAGCAGUUUCUCGGUGCCUGCUGUGUCUACGGGCUGCAUCGGGGACAGGAAAUAGUUUUAACCUCUCACCAAAGACGCCCCAGAAGGCCCUCGUCCUGGUUACGGGGAAGGAAUUAUAGCGGACAGUUGCUAUCAGGAGGUCGUCAUCUUAAGGUAGCACGGAUAAGAACUGCACUGGAGAGGGAAUCAUGUUCGGGUUUUUCCCCAGCUCGGAGAACGCAGAAGUGCGGCCGCGCUGCUGCACGGCAGUGGGGGACCUUGGUUCUUUCCCGGACCCUUCAGCUGGGAGCCCUUGAUCAGCGAGAGCAGCGCGCUAAGGGGCCUGGGACUGUCCUGCACAGAGGAAAACCCAAGGAGGAGAAGGCCUGGUGGUCUGCAUAAGCUGAAAGGAGGGGUCAAGGGUUUCGGAGGCUGAAGGCCAAGGCCAGAGAAGAGCGAGCCCCUGGGGGCCCACAGGCCUCCCUAGGGUGUGGGAGGCCUGGCGCACACACUCAUCAGGGCAUGAACAGCUCUUAGGACUGUAAGAGGAGACACUGCGAGACAGUGUAGGGCAAGAGAACUGUGCACGCUCGCAGGAGAGAUGUCCCGGUGAACUUGUAGGGCG